ACGGCUCAGUAACACGUGGCUAAUCUGCCCUUGGGACCGGAAUACCCCCGGGAAACUGGGGCUAAUUCUCGAUAGGUGAAGAACUCUGGAAUGAGUCUUUGCCAAAAAGACGUUUACGUUAUGCUCGUAGGCGUCGCCCAAGGAUGAGGCCGCGACCGAUCAGGUUGUUGGUGAGGUAAUGGCUCACCAAGCCUUUUACCGGUGCGGGCCGUGAGAGCGGGAGCCCGGAGAUGGGCACUGAGACAAGGGCCCAGGCCCUACGGGGCGCAGCAGUCGCGAAAACUUUGCAAUACACGAAAGUGUGACAGGGCUAUCCCGAGUGCCAUCCGCUGAGGAAGGCUUUUACCCAGUCUAGAACGCUGGGGGAAUAAGGAGAGGGCAAGUCUGGUGUCAGCCGCCGCGGUAAUACCAGCUCUCCGAGUGGUGUGGAUGUUUAUUGGGCCUAAAGCAUCCGUAGCUGGCUAAGUUAGUCCCUUGUUAAAUCUACCGAAUUAAUCGUUGGAUUGCGGGGGAUACUGCUUGGCUAGGGGACGAGAGAGGCAGACGGUAUUUCCGGGGUAGGGGUGAAAUCCUAUAAUCCCGGGAAGACCACCAGUGGCGAAGGCUGUCUGCUAGAACGCGCCCGACGGUGAGGGAUGAAAGCUGGGGGAGCGAACCGGAUUAGAUACCCGGGUAGUCCCAGCUGUAAACGAUGCAGGCUAGGUGUUUGGACGGCCACGUGCCGUUCUAGUGCCGCAGGGAAGCUGUUAAGCCUGCCGCCUGGGGAGUACGAUCGCAAGAUUGAAACUUAAAGGAAUUGGCGGGGGAG
RNAcentral lists this ribosomal RNA (808 nucleotides) under uncultured archaeon. RNAcentral's name for it is "bacterial SSU rRNA". It matches the Rfam family "Archaeal small subunit ribosomal RNA", at positions 85 to 876 of the family's 1478-position model. The record is from RNAcentral.